Molecule: ribosomal RNA, 442 nt
Filed under: uncultured Peptococcaceae bacterium
Lineage: Bacteria; Bacillati; Bacillota; Clostridia; Eubacteriales; Peptococcaceae
Description: partial 16S ribosomal RNA
Rfam family: Bacterial small subunit ribosomal RNA
Source: RNAcentral
CCUACGGGAGGCAGCAGUGGGGAAUCUUCCGCAAUGGGCGAAAGCCUGACGGAGCAACGCCGCGUGAGUGAAGAAGGCCUUCGGGUUGUAAAACUCUGUCUUCAGGGAAGAAAGAGAUGACGGUACCUGAGGAGGAAGCCACGGCUAACUACGUGCCAGCAGCCGCGGUAAUACGUAGGUGGCAAGCGUUGUCCGGAAUUACUGGGCGUAAAGAGCGCGUAGGCGGGGAUUUAAGUCAGGAGUGAAAACUGCGGGCUCAACCUGCAGCCUGCUCUUGAAACGGGAUUUCUUGAGGGUAUGAGAGGAAAGCGGAAUUCCCAGUGUAGCGGUGAAAUGCGUAGAUAUUGGGAGGAACACCAGUGGCGAGGGCGGCUUUCUGGCAUACAACUGACGCUGAGUCGCGAAAGCGUGGGGAUCAAACAGGAUUAGAUACCCUGGUAGU